GGAUUGCAGGCUGCAACUCGCCUGCAUGAAGCUGGAAUUGCUAGUAAUCGCGGAUCAGCAAGCCGCGGUGAAUACGUUCCCGGGCCUUGUACACACCGCCCGUCACACCAUGGGAGCCGGUAAUACCCGAAGUCAGUAGUCCAACCUCGUGAGGACGCUGCCGAAGGUAGGAUUGGCGACUGGGGUGAAGUCGUAACAAGGUACC
This 205-nucleotide ribosomal RNA is filed under the name uncultured bacterium. RNAcentral describes it as "partial 16S ribosomal RNA". It matches the Rfam family "Bacterial small subunit ribosomal RNA", at positions 1295 to 1500 of the family's 1533-position model. The record is from RNAcentral.